This 250-nucleotide ribosomal RNA is filed under the name uncultured bacterium. RNAcentral's name for it is "partial 16S ribosomal RNA". It matches the Rfam family "Bacterial small subunit ribosomal RNA", at positions 524 to 773 of the family's 1533-position model. The record is from RNAcentral.
UACGGAGGAUCCAAGCGUUAUCCGGAAUCAUUGGGUUUAAAGGGUCCGUAGGCGGUUUUGUAAGUCAGUGGUGAAAGCCCAUCGCUCAACGGUGGAACGGCCAUUGAUACUGCAAGACUUGAAUUACUAGGAAGUAACUAGAAUAUGUAGUGUAGCGGUGAAAUGCUUAGAUAUUACAUGGAAUACCAAUUGCGAAGGCAGGUUACUACUAGUGGAUUGACGCUGAUGGACGAAAGCGUGGGGAGCGAAC